RNAcentral lists this non-coding RNA (26 nucleotides) under Rattus norvegicus (Norway rat). The record is from RNAcentral. Lineage: Eukaryota; Metazoa; Chordata; Mammalia; Rodentia; Muridae.
UGGAAUAAGGUGUCAACCAGAUUUUC